RNAcentral lists this ribosomal RNA (409 nucleotides) under bacterium. RNAcentral's name for it is "partial 16S ribosomal RNA". It matches the Rfam family "Bacterial small subunit ribosomal RNA", at positions 355 to 776 of the family's 1533-position model. The record is from RNAcentral.
UGGGGAAUAUUGCACAAUGGGCGAAAGCCUGAUGCAGCGACGCCGCGUGAGGGAUGACGGCCUUCGGGUUGUAAACCUCUUUCAGUAGGGACGAAGCGCAAGUGACGGUACCUGCAGAAGAAGCACCGGCUAACUACGUGCCAGCAGCCGCGGUAAUACGUAGGGAGCGAGCGUUGUCCGGAAUUACUGGGCGUAAAGAGCUCGUAGGCGGUUUGUCACGUCGUCUGUGAAAUCCUAGGGCCUAACCCUGGACGUGCAGGCGAUACGGGCUGACUUGAGUACUACAGGGGAGACUGGAAUUUCUGGUGUAGCGGUGGAAUGCACAGAUAUCAGGAAGAACGCCGAUGGCGACGGGAGGUCUCUGGUUAGUAACUGACGCUGAGGAGCGAAAGCAUGGGUAGCGAACAGG